This 7039-nucleotide long non-coding RNA is filed under the name Gallus gallus (chicken). Lineage: Eukaryota; Metazoa; Chordata; Aves; Galliformes; Phasianidae. The record is from RNAcentral.
GGGAAAGGGAGGAUGGAGGCAGGAUGGGGCAUUGAGCGAUGGGGGAGCCGGGAAGGGAGGUGGCGAGGCUGAGGGCAGGCGGGGGUGGCUGCGGGAGGCAGAUGGAGGGAGGCCCCAGGAGCGGGGCACGGAGGAUGGAGGACAAUACGGUGAACGGUCACAGGAGUAAAUACUGAGAGAAGGGGGCUGCGUGUUCCAAGCAGCACACGGCCAAAAGUGCAAACAACUUGGCUUUGAGCUCGCCGAUACGAGGAGCAGCGACGAUGGCAACUGCCCCUGCAGCCCCAAGCCGCGCUUUUUCCCUUCUCACACUUUCUCUCCCUAAAUAAACAGUGGCACAUCGCUCCCUCCGCCUCCCUCCCAGCUCUCCCCGCUCGCUCGGUCCUUCCCUCCCCCCCUCUUUUCCCAGCCUUUGAGGGACGGAGGGCGGACAAUGCUGGUAUUGAGCUGCCCGCAGUGUGAAUGCUCAGCCUGUCCUCCCCGCGUGCCAGCAGCCGCAGCUGAGCCCCGAGCCCUGCAGCAGCGCUGCCCGCCGGGAAGGCUCCCGGAGCACACAACGGCCCUGCACGGGAGCGAGAGAAAAAAAAAACAACGAUGAAAUUAACGGGAAAGGAAUAGGCCGUGUGUCUUACUGCUGUCGCCGGCUCGCUGCUUCCCCAUCCCGCUCCCCUCUGUGCGAGGGAGGGAGGGAUGGAGAACGGCUCCUAGGAAUGCUCGGCCAGCAUAACCCUUCUGCGGCCGCAACGGAGGGCAGAGAGGUAGUUUGAGGGCUCCUGGGGACACGUCAGACCCAAACUAGGGAGAUGUAAGCACUGACCCCCUGGAUGCUCAGGAUCAGAGCAGAUGGCCAGGCAGCCCUGCAUCCUGUCGCUGAGCCAAGCAGCAGCUCAACGAGCGUGCAGUGACUGCCCCUGAGCACUUCCCCAGUUCCCAAUGAUCUGUGGCUACGGCAUGUCCCAAGCCAGUGGCAAUGUCUUUGUAGUUCAUGGCCCUCUAUUGAUUUUCUUCUUCCAGGAAUGCAACCAGUCCUCUCUGAACCCCUAGGAACCAACCCCUGCAGUCUUGGUAUGGAAAGGCCGAGCUGUCUGUGGGUGCUGAAACAAUCUCUGUGUGUGUUAAAAGCCCACAAAUUAAGGGCUAAGGUCAUGACACCACUCCUCCAGUGUCAUGCAAGCAGUAGCAAAAGAGACGGCUGCUUUGUGUUCAAGCCAAGGGAGUGAGCAGAUGCAGAUAGUUCCCUACAGGAGACUUGGUAUGGGUGGCAACAGAGAAGGGGAGCAAUGAGAAAGAGCUUGGCAGUUCAUCCACACGCUGGGUGUUUCUGAGCUGCCGAAGAGACAGAACUGAAGAAGCCCGUGCUGCUGAGCCACUCGGAGCCACUGCCCUAUGCACAAGGGAUAGAGAUGCCAUCACCCUGGUGGCAUCCCACUCAUGGUACAAUGGGCUUCAGGAAGAUGCCUCUGGGCUCUUGUGACAGUUUGAGUACAAGCCCCAGUCCCAUAUGAAGUUCGAUAGAAAUGCACUCGUCUUUGCGAAUCAAAACUUUGCAUGGACCUGUUUUACAAGGGUCUCCCACAUAUGUUCCAUCUACAUUUAGUAAGAACUAUUGUAUGUAAAUUAAAUGCCAGCGGAGUAAGGAAAACAUAUUUGUCGAAGAUUAACUAUUAUGUAAUGCAAGAAGCAUCUGCCACCCAACUGCUAGAGCUCACUAAAUAUUUCCUUAUCUCGGAGUAUUUACUUAGGAGGCAAUAACUAUCCAGUUAAAUCUAAAUUUAAUGCUUAGUUAAAUAUACUUCAUGGAAAGUGACACCAAUAUGUUUUAUACAGACAGUGACAGAGGAGGGUUCAGAGAGGGAGAGGGCAGUAAUACUGUCCCCACAACCCCAUAACACCCUGACUUGAGGUGGGACUGUACUUGGCCGUGCCUCCCAAUGACGUAGUUGCAUCACAGCAGAGUCAGAGACCCCUCUCUACUGAGACAGAAAUACGAGCAAAGCCUUCAUCUUCUCAGACAUUUAUGCAAUCCUCAUUAGAACCACUCUAGCAUAGCUAUUUAAUAAUAAUCAUCGUAAUAAACAGAGAAAUAAGGAUUAAAUUCCCCUGAGGGUCUUGCAAACCUUGGGAAAACACUGAAAUCUCUAAGUCUUAUUUGCUUUUAGAAACAUAUAGAAGUAAAAGGAAGAGGUUGCCUGGGUGUAAAAGUCCAAACAAGAAAGAAUCACACAGAUCCUAGGAGAAAGCCUCAUGAGCAAAAUAAAUAACGUGGGUUUUUUGGUGUGUGCUCCCGGAAGAAAUAACUCUCUAGACUCAUCUCCCCCUACUGGAAGCUGAUAAUGAAAGCAACAGGACUGCCUUCUGUCUUUCCUACCUUCUAAAAUGUUGAGCAAAAAUUCAGGUAAACAGUCAGACCAAGUGCAGCACGAAUGCACACGGCCACUUUUUGAUGCCAUUUACCAAUGCUCGGUAGGUGCAGAACUGCCAGUUCCGGCCUGAGGAGCCAGAAUUUUUCUAAUAUGCUAUAGUACAGGAAUGGAAUGGGCAGCAUGAGCCCAGUCCUAUCGGUACCACAUCACCCUCCUCCAUCUGCUUCUGAUGGAAAGGCAGCAGAAGCUAAAAGCAUGGACUUUGGACACAAGUAGGGAUGGGCCUUUCUGCAUUUGAAAUGUCUAAAGGCAAAGAAUUGCUCACGUAAGCCUUCAGAGUCUUUCAUGACACACGUGACUGCUGCAAGGGGACAGCAUAACUGCUCUGCCAGUCGAAUCCAAGCACCCAGGGACUUUUAUUUAGGGUAUCUACAGAGGGAGCCAAAAGAGUAGAAGAGGAGGAGGAGGGGAAGCAAGACUAAAAGAGAAGGGGAAAAGCCUGUGAAUGCAGCAGGUGCCUCUACAGGCAAACUGAGGACGCAGUGGACUUUGAAUGUUAAACACCUUUUUCCUCACACUUAAAGAGAGUUCCUCUAGGCUGCACUCGGACCAUUCUUCCAGCUGUACCUGCCAGAUACAGUGGCCUCCAUCUAUAGCAGGCCAAAGAGUGUCAUGGAAAGAGAGGAUGUUUCCAUGAGGAAAUUGGAAAGAAGAAAAUCUGAGGGCAGGAUGCUGUCUACCCGUCUUCAUCCUAUGGGAACUGGAACAUUAGUGUCACUUACUCAUAUCCCCAAGGCACUUAGAGAAGACAGGUUAUAUGGAAACAUUCUGCAAUAUGAGGAAAUGUAAGUGCAUGAUAGCUCAAAUACCAGUAAUAACACUUUCAGCAUGUGCUUUAUUUUAAGAAAAAACUGCCUUGUUAUGACUGUUUUGCAAAUCUAUAAAUCAGUCUGGCUUUUGAAUCUGAAACAGCAAGCUUAGGCCUGAGACACACAUCAGGGCAUGUACUGUAACCAGAAUAAGCUUCCUCUGAACUAAGGACCUCAUCAGACAGAAGGAUUUAGCGCAUCAAGAGCAGUCACAGAUAGGUCGUAACUGUGGAUGAUAACGUGCACGUGCACCACACCUCUAACUGUGGUCACUGAGCUGUAACAUAACCUCCUCCUGUAUCCGAGCAGUAGUGAUUUUCACCAAUUUGUAAUCUCUUUACUGUGUCAUCGAUCUGGCUUCACAAUUGAUCACUUCCAUGUGGACAAUUUAGAGGCCAAGAUCCAGGUUCUGAGUUGCCCUAAGUUGACACAUCACCCCCAACAGCUGAAAAGCUAUCCUGAUUUCCACCACCUAAAUGUGAGGUCUUGAUUUUGGAAGUUCCUUUCCUUCUGCACUGCCUGGGUUGAAAACUGUUGUAUCGUUGAAAAAGAAAAUCUUGUUCAACUGGCUAAAUGGAUUUGUACUCAUACUCAGAAAGAGUCACCUUUAAAGACGAAAUCCAAAGCUUAGACAGGAGAACAGCAGCCUUUUCUCAGCAGGAUAUGACUGAGUGGCAUUAAAGAAUUAACACCACAACUGGUUUGUGGCCUUAAUUACUGGUUGCUACCACGACAAGUGCUUUUAGAACUGCAAAGUCAUUGGUAACAGGUCCUUCCUACUUCUGAGGCAUGAGAAACUAGGAGAGCUUCCAUUUUUUGUUGGAAGAAGUUCAGUUAAACCCUACCUGCACACAGUCUGCAGAUCUGCUGGGCAGCAGCCUGCACUGCCCUCCCAAGGCACCCUCCUGUUCAUGGCUUAGGAAGCAGGGAGAGAGCUGAGUCCAGCUCUGGCAUUUCUCACAGGGAUGCAACAUAUGUUCUCUUUGCUUUUAUAUAUUCAGGAGGGAAAACAUUGCUUUACUCUUGUCAAGUAACACUUGAUGAGUCAAGUGGAGCCUGAAAUGCUUCACUUCCUGCAAAAAUGCCUGGAAGGGCAGCAGCUCUAUCCGUGUAGGCUCAGUGUCUUCCUGGAACAUCCCCCCCAUGCUAGUGAAGACCUACAGCCCCAACAGAAGUAACUAGGAUUGGCUUCACAAAAGGAUGCUAAAGUAGUUGAAAGUCCCACCUAACAUAUAAGCAGAAAGAUGACCCUGAGGUUGGGAGGUUCUAAGACUUGGGAGGCCUCCAGCCCCAGUUUGGUCUGUGACUUUGGGUAAAUCACUUAACGAGGAAUUCACAAAGGCUAAAAGGCUAAUCUCCCUUGUCUCCCUCUGCCCUGCGAGAGAUAAUCUUCUCUUGAGGACACUUUAGAGCAGACACCUAAUUUAACCAUUUAAAAAUGUCAUAUCUCUUGGGACACGUCAUAAUUUACAGCCUCAUAAUGGAGAUCCCAGUAAACCCCUAGUUUCUGGUGGUAUUCAAAGGAUGAAGCACCACAGACUGUAAGGAGAUCUGACAAUGCAAUAAAAAAGUCCCCGCAAGCUACAAUCUACAGAACACGCGGGGCAAGUGUGUGAUGCAUUUCUUAACAUGCUCAUUAACAGACCCCCAAAUGACUGUGUGGCCACUGCUUGUGAUCACAGCAGACAGGGAAUCCUGUACGACUAAGAAGUGGUAAAACCCAUUCUGCUGAGCCUUGCUCUAAAUUCAAUGACCUGCUCCAGCAUGGAGCUCUCUACGCAAUACUAAUGGAUGAGAAUAAUCAUUCUGACAGUGAUGAUUCGGAACAGAGCUCCCAAGUCUUUCUGAAAUGAUACAUGCUAUACAUUCAUCAUCACCAGAGAAUUAAUUUUAUUGUGAUGAAUAGAGUGCAGCAGGCUGUUGUGCCAUGCUUUUUCUUGUCCAUUACAGAAGCUCCCUCAUAGUUUUUAUGAAACUUAAACUGAGGCCUUCAGCGAGACAAGAAAGAUCCUCAAGAUUUGUGAUGCCAUCACGACAGCAGGUACUGUCAGAAAACCUCACAGACAACAAGCAAGGAGAUAAAUCUGAAUGCAGAAAUUUGGAGAAGGGUCCCUCUGAAAUUACAAUCUGCCUGAAAUUCAUGCUUCUGAAAACGCCUGACAUCAUUUCACUGCAUUCAGAUCUGAAAAGGAGGAAAACAUAUUCCUAAACUUGUCCAGAUUUUCUAGAUGAAAAGCCAGAACUGUCCCACAGACUCAGUACCGUUCUUACAAGCUGCAAAUCAGGGAUACCUCUGCAUCACUUCUUUUCUGCUCUUUUCUCCUGUCUCCUCAUCUUGGUAUUUUUAAAUGCCUCUCCUUUUUCUAAGUUGCAUCUGCGUCCUGUUUCUGUCAGGGACAGCCCUAUUUAUAGGUUUUAAAGCCCUGUCCAGCUGCCUGCCCCAAGCCAUGGAGACUCACCCACUUCUCUUGGCAAGAAGCCACAACCAUUGCCUGUGCCAAGGUGCCAGAGGACCCUGUUAAAGAGGCGCUCCCAGCUUUGGUUUACGCACCUCCAGUUGCAGAGAUCUAUCCUAGAUCAGUGGUUUUAUUAAUUAAUUCCCCCCAACCCAAGUCAAGAAUUUCUUGUGUUAUUUUAAGCACCAACCUAUUUCUUUACAGUCCAGCCACUGAGUCCAAUCACGUGUUUAUCUGCUUAGACUAAAUGGUCAUCUGUAGUCAGAAACCCUCUCCCCUAAGAAUAGCGUUGUACCCAUCUGAGUCUCACUUUGUACCAAUUUUGAUCCUAGUCAAAUACGCUGCCAUGCAUCCCCAGCACCCGGUGCCAGGCAGGGAAACAGGGCACUCUCAGCAGCCUCCGCAAGAACUGGCAGACACCAGAUUCCCAGUGCCAUGCUGGUGAUGAGGGUCAGACAGCACGCAGGUAGGGCUGGGAAUGAGAACUUAGGGUCCAAGCCCAAGGAUGGGGAAAGGAGACGUAGCAGAAGGGGGAAGAAGGACCCUCUCACUGAGAGCUGCAGGAAUAAGGUGGCUCUCCAGGGGAUGAGGGAUUUUGCUGGUGGCUUUUCCAACAGCUGGUCCUGUCAGACAGCUCCGCUCUGCUUCCGGCAUAGUCCUGCGAUCGGAUGUAGCAGCAGCACAGCUGCACUGCCCACAGGCGUCACUGCUUGAGGCAGCGGCAGUCUGUCUCAACCACCCUGAUUUAAACUCAUCCAAACUCAUCAAUUUGAAUAAACAAAAGUAACCCCAAGGUGGGCAUACUUGAAAACUGCUCAGGUGAAGCAGUACCUACCAGACAAGCCAAUACCCACAGAGGGUAUGGAGACAGGUCGAGUUCCUACAGCUGCCUCUGCCCCAUAAGGAGAGCGCUCACCCAUUCUCAUUCUGGAAGCCUUCAGAAAUGCUCCCGUGUCUCUGCUUUAAGGAGCUGUUUCAGGAUGUGUGGAUCCCCAUACUGCCAGCAAACACACCUUCUAACAAUAUAUUCCUCUGAAGAAACCUGUUAGAUCCAACAGCUUGCUGAGUGAACAAAAAGAACAAGAGCCCAAAGAGGAAUGGAAGCGUUGCUUCCUGUGCAACCCCUGAGGAUUUGUGCAUAAGCCCUGGCCUUCAGAGACACUUCAUUACCUUCCUAAUUUAUACAACACACAGGUAGUUUUUAAAUAAGACAGUGAGCCUGCCGGCUUCUUCCUGCAGGCAGAGAUCAGGGGAAGACAAAGAGCAGGCCGGACAGAGCACCCUGGCAGCUGCCCGGACAGAGGCUGUUGAUGUGCAAACAGCCCUACUGCAGAAGAAGCCUAAAGCCCCA